UGGAGUACAGAAUGAAAUGGAGAGGAGAGGAGAAGAGAGGAGGAGAGAGGAGAGGAGGAGAAUACCAGGCAGAUGUUGGAGUACAGAAUGAAAUGGAGAGGAGAGGGGAGAGGAGAAGAGAGGAGGAGAGAGGAGAGGAGGAGAAUACCAGACAGAUGUUGGAGUACAGAAUGAAAUGGAGAGGAGAGGAGAAGAGAGGAAAGGUGUUGGAGUACAGAAUGAAAUGGAGAGGAGAGGAGAAGAGAGGAAAGGUGUUGGAGUACAGAAUGAAAUGGAGAGGAGAGGAGAAGAGAGGAAAGGUGUUGGAGUACAGAAUGAAAUGGAGAGGAGAGGAGAGGAAAGGUGUUGGAGUACAGAAUGAAAUGGAGAGGAGAGGAGAAGAGAGGAAAGGUGUUGGAGUACAGAAUGAAAUGGAGAGGAGAAGAGAGGAAAGGUGUUGGAGUACAGAAUGAAAUGGAGAGGAGAGGAGAAGAGAGGAAAGGUGUUGGAGUACAGAAUGAAAUGGAGAGGAGAAGAGAGGAAAGGUGUUGGAGUACAGAAUGAAAUGGAGAGGAGAGGAGAAGAGAGGAAAGGUGUUGGAGUACAGAAUGAAAUGGAGAGGAGAAGAGAGGAAAGGUGUUGGAGUACAGAAUGAAAUGGAGAGGAGAGGAGAAGAGAGGAAAGGUGUUGGAGUACAGAAUGAAAUGGAGAGGAGAAGAGAGGAAAGGUGUUGGAGUACAGAAUGAAAUGGAGAGGAGAGGAGAAGAGAGGAAAGGUGUUGGAGUACAGAAUGAAAUGGAGAGGAGAAGAGAGGAAAGGUGUUGGAGUACAGAAUGAAAUGGAGAGGAGAGGAGAAGAGAGGAAAGGUGUUGGAGUACAGAAUGAAAUGGAGAGGAGAAGAGAGGAAAGGUGUUGGAGUACAGAAUGAAAUGGAGAAGAGAGGAAAGGUGUUGGAGUACAGAAUGAAAUGGAGAGGAGAAGAGAGGAAAGGUGUUGGAGUACAGAAUGAAAUGGAGAGGAGAAGAGAGGAAAGGUGUUGGAGUACAGAAUGAAAUGGAGAGGAGAGGAGAAGAGAGGAAAGGUGUUGGAGUACAGAAUGAAAUGGAGAGGAGAAGAGAGGAAAGGUGUUGGAGUACAGAAUGAAAUGGAGAGGAGAGGAGAAGAGAGGAAAGGUGUUGGAGUACAGAAUGAAAUGGAGAGGAGAAGAGAGGAAAGGUGUUGGAGUACAGAAUGAAAUGGAGAGGAGAGGAGAAGAGAGGAAAGGUGUUGGAGUACAGAAUGAAAUGGAGAGGAGAAGAGAGGAAAGGUGUUGGAGUACAGAAUGAAAUGGAGAAGAGAGGAAAGGUGUUGGAGUACAGAAUGAAAUGGAGAGGAGAAGAGAGGAAAGGUGUUGGAGUACAGAAUGAAAUGGAGAGGAGAAGAGAGGAAAGGUGUUGGAGUACAGAAUGAAAUGGAGAGGAGAGGAGAAGAGAGGAAAGGUGUUGGAGUACAGAAUGAAAUGGAGAGGAGAAGAGAGGAAAGGUGUUGGAGUACAGAAUGAAAUGGAGAGGAGAGGAGAAGAGAGGAAAGGUGUUGGAGUACAGAAUGAAAUGGAGAGGAGAAGAGAGGAAAGGUGUUGGAGUACAGAAUGAAAUGGAGAGGAGAGGAGAAGAGAGGAAAGGUGUUGGAGUACAGAAUGAAAUGGAGAGGAGAAGAGAGGAAAGGUGUUGGAGUACAGAAUGAAAUGGAGAAGAGAGGAAAGGUGUUGGAGUACAGAAUGAAAUGGAGAGGAGAAGAGAGGAAAGGUGUUGGAGUACAGAAUGAAAUGGAGAGGAGAAGAGAGGAAAGGUGUUGGAGUACAGAAUGAAAUGGAGAGGAGAGGAGAAGAGAGGAAAGGUGUUGGAGUACAGAAUGAAAUGGAGAGGAGAGGAGAAGAGAGGAAAGGUGUUGGAGUACAGAAUGAAAUGGAGAGGAGAGGAGAAGAGAGGAAAGGUGUUGGAGUACA
Oncorhynchus keta (chum salmon) is the source of this 1963-nucleotide long non-coding RNA. RefSeq lists it as uncharacterized. Lineage: Eukaryota; Metazoa; Chordata; Actinopteri; Salmoniformes; Salmonidae. The transcript has 6 exons. The record is from RefSeq and is a predicted model, not a curated record.